GCCUGCUGCCACAUCAUCCGGAAAUCACCUGAUCUUGUCAGAGCUCGGCAGCUAAGCAGGCUUGAGCCUGGCUAGUGCUUGGUUGGGUGAACCCCCUUGAAUAAAACUGGUGCUGUAGGCA
RNAcentral lists this ribosomal RNA (121 nucleotides) under Petromyzon marinus (sea lamprey). The record is from RNAcentral. Lineage: Eukaryota; Metazoa; Chordata; Hyperoartia; Petromyzontiformes; Petromyzontidae.